CCGGGACGCUUCUGGGCACAGAAAAGCUGUGACAUCCAGACGCCACAGAGUGGAGACGGCCAAACCAACACUAAACACAACGCCACCAAAGACCUAUUGUCAUCUCACAGUGAAGAUGAAGAACAGAAAGCCUCGGCGCGGAGAAGUGACAGCUGGAGAAUCAAAUGAUCCGGUUCCGUCCGAGCCAGUGCAGUGCUUGACAUAAUCAGAGGAGCUGGCAUGAGAAGUGGCUCAAAACUCCCAUAGUGAUGCACAGUAUUACCCAUUACUCCCCGAGGCAGGGCACAUGCCUGAAACGAAAUGCUCUGUUUUUGUUAAAUAAAAGGAAUUAUGCAC
Long non-coding RNA from Gasterosteus aculeatus aculeatus (three-spined stickleback), 336 nucleotides. Lineage: Eukaryota; Metazoa; Chordata; Actinopteri; Perciformes; Gasterosteidae. The record is from Ensembl.